Molecule: long non-coding RNA, 206 nt
Filed under: Capsicum annuum
Lineage: Eukaryota; Viridiplantae; Streptophyta; Magnoliopsida; Solanales; Solanaceae
Description: long non-coding RNA (CANN_LNC014887)
Source: RNAcentral
UUGUAUUUUAGAAAUGAGAAGCAUACCAGUCCUUGUGAAGCACUCUGGUCGAUGGACGUACGAAAAGAACUUCGAAGAAUAUGUCACUGAUGCUAUACUGUUGAGUACAUCAGCCACAUUCGUUGAGCUGCACGAUGUUUUGGCAUCUCACUUAAGUGUGAAUUUAACCAUCAAACGUAUUCUAGUGGAAUAUCAAAUCACUCCUA